CCACUCAACAAAACUACCUCUCUCUUCUCACAGCGCCCAUCUCUCUCGCCCUUAUCCGAAACCCUAUCCCUCUCCUCCUCCUCUCUCUCUCUCUCUCUCCAUCUCUCCCCCUGUGUCCCAAUAGAACCGGAACCACAAAACCCUAGAAAACGAAUUCGCAGAGAUUUCUUUGUGGCUCAUCUCGGAGGUGUAGCCUGGCGUUGACUCGUUGGAGGAAGGCGAAGAAGAUGGUGGCUACGGUGAGCCCACUCCGGUGGUUGGAGAUCGUGACGGAGGAGAGAGAGUCCUCCAGAUCCACUUUCUCUCUCCUCCACGAAUAUGAGUUCUUGUUUCCUUUCUGUUCAGCACCCAACCUCCAGAUCGUGACGGAGGCAAGGUUUGAAUUGUUGAAAUGGGUUUCUACCCAUUUAAGUGGCUUUGUCCCUUGAAUUUAAGUUUCUUCUCUUCCUCUUCAGCACCCUUCCCACUGCCUCAUCUCCAAUCCUCAGUUGCAGGGCUUCAACUAUGGAGGCUCACUAAGACCCAGAUUCUCUUUCACCACUAAAGACACUGACAAAGGCAUUCGCAUUCAACCCAUUAAAGCCAAAGCAGCAACCACCGAGGCCUCUCCGUUUCCUCUGCUUCAGUCUCCCCGAGCUAAAGACUCUCCCUCUGAGUUGGAGCCAGCAGAUCCUGAUUUCUACAAGAUAGGGUUUGUUAGAAGUAUGAGAGCUUAUGGAAUUGAAUUUAAAGAAGGCCCAGAUGGGUUUGGAGUUUAUGCUUCCAAGGAUGUUGAACCACUUCGCCGUGCUAGGGUGAUAAUGGAAAUACCACUAGAACUGAUGUUAACUAUAAGCCAAAAGCUCCCAUGGAUGUUUUUCCCAGAUAUAGUACCGGUGGGUCACCCAAUAUUUGAUAUCAUCAAUUCAACAAGAAGAGAAGCUACGCUCAGCUUCAUUUAGAUUUGGGUUAGUCUUGUUGUCUCAGAUGAAAAACUGGAAAGCACAUGGGUGUUUAUGCAGAUAUAUGUAAUGACACAGUUGAAGAAGCUGAAAAGUUUUUGGGUCAACCUUUACAUUUGCUGUUCUCAUUUACACUGAUUGUACUGAUGGGACAUCCCUUGGAAGCUCAUUGUCACCUCCUUUCCCUGGUCCUUGCACACUCAGAACAGCAUUGGCACCUAAGAAGUGUGAUUUGUAAAACCCACCUAAAACGUGGUCUAAGUCCAAUCGGCAGAAUUCACAAAGGUGUGUUCCUUCUGGAUGAAGGAACCUCUGCAAUGUUACUCGUCAUGGUCUGGAGACCUCACAUCAGUUUCCUGACUCUACCAGCAAUAUUGAGGUGGUCAGUUCUAGGAAAUGGCCUUUGAUUUCUCGUUACCGAGCUGCAGUUCGUACUCAAUCACCAAAAGUAGAAAUGAUUGCUAAUCUGUUCAAGCCUGUGUCUGAUAAAGAGGACCAAGGCAUAAUCAAGUUGGCUCCUAUCUCCCCCUAUACUCUGCCACUUUGAUUUUUUUGUGAAUGUAUAAUUAUACAAACCUUACUAUUGCGGUAUGAAAUUGUUUACAUAGAUUCUGCUCUUCUGCUGGCAUCCUCAUUAUCACCACAAAGUGUUCUUCAAGACUUGGUUGGUUUCAACAUUUCACUAAAUGUUGUUAGAAAACUAGUUCUGUUGAUGUAAUGACUUUGUUGGAUAUAUGGAUGAAUGUAUCGGAUUUUUACAUGAAUGAAUGUGUUUUGGAUGUGAUGUCA
This is an RNA transcript of Rosa rugosa (rugosa rose), 1730 nucleotides long. RefSeq lists it as uncharacterized. The transcript has 7 exons. NCBI's taxonomy places the organism in Eukaryota, Viridiplantae, Streptophyta, Magnoliopsida, Rosales, Rosaceae. The record is from RefSeq and is a predicted model, not a curated record.